Molecule: RNA transcript, 1750 nt
Organism: Dioscorea cayenensis subsp. rotundata (Guinea yam)
Lineage: Eukaryota; Viridiplantae; Streptophyta; Magnoliopsida; Dioscoreales; Dioscoreaceae
Gene name: pseudouridine kinase
Exons: 10
Source: RefSeq, a predicted model, not a curated record
GCGAGAGCGAGAGAGAGAGAGAGAGAGAGAGAGAGAGAGGAGUGAUGAUGGAGAACCUCGCCUUGAGGAGGCUCAAAUCGAUCGCUGGCCAUCUCCAACCAUCGGAAACCCUAACCGGAGAUCUCUUCCUCAAUCGGAAUCCAGUGAGUUCGUCGGAGAAAAUCGAUGAUGCCUCUUCUCCGAUCAUUAUCGGAGGCAUGGUAUUGGAUAUCAAUGCUGUUCCUAAUGCUCACCCGGUUCCUGGAACCACUACGCCUGGCAAGUAAAUUGGAUAUCUUGCAAUGGUUUGUUGUUCAGGUUAAGUAUGUCAGUGGAGGAGUGGCUAGGAAUGUUGCUGAAUGCAUGUCAAAGCUUGGGACAAGACCUUUUAUUAUUAGUGUUGUCGGACUUGAUAUGGCUGGGGAAUUGCUGUUAAAGUACUGGAAAUCUGCUGGUUUUUCCACAGAAGGAAUUCUCAAGCUUCAAGGCAUGGCAACUCCUGUUGUGUCUAAUGUAUAUGACUGUAGUGGUGAACUGGCUGCAGCUGUGGCCAGCGUUGAAGCAGUUGAAACAUUUGUGACUCCACAAUGGAUUCAAAAAUUUAGUCACAAAAUACGUUCCGCGCCAGUGGUGAUGGUUGAUGCAAAUUUGAAUCCUCAAGCACUUAAAGCUGCCUGUCAACUGGCAGGAGAAUUUAGCAUUCCUCUAUGGUUUGAACCAGUCUCAAUAACCAAGUCUGUGAGAAUUUCAUCUAUCAUAAAUUAUAUAACAUUUGCUUCCCCUAAUGUCAAUGAGCUUAUUUCUAUGGCAAAUGCUUUAUCAUUAAACAAGAAGUUUGAUUUCAUAACGAAAAGUUUCCAGUCCAUAGAAACUUUAUUCCAAAUGCUAAAACCAGCAAUAUGUGUUUUGCUGGAGAAGGGUGUCAAAGUGCUCAUCGUGACUCUGGGCUCAUAUGGUGUAUUCGUAUGCUGUACAGGAGGUCCAGAUUUUAUCAAUGAAGCAUUGAAUCGAAGAACAGCUAGCUGUUCCAGUAGGCAGCUAUAUGAACUUGUGAAUAAUAACUCUCUUGCAAACCGGUUUCAUUGUUACACAGAGACAGGAAUGAAGUCAUCUUAUUUCGCCUAUCAUUUUCCAUCUCUUCCUGCAUCAGUGGUAAGCCUAACGGGUGCAGGAGACUGCUUGGUUGGUGGAAUCCUCGCAUCGAUCUGUGCUGGAAUAGAUGUGAUGCAAAGUAUCGCUGUGGGCAUAACGGUAGCAAAAGCAGCUGUGGAAGCCGAAUCAAACGUGCCCGCAAAAUAUAGCUUGACAACAAUUAAAGAUGAAGCAGUGAAAAUCUUGUCAUCUGCCCAACCACUUGCGUUUUGACAAAGAGGCAGUGUAUGGUUUGUAGGACAGCGCGAAUCUUGUCUGAUAAUAAGUGUCAUGUUUAAGAGUGCAAGCACAAGCAUUGCAUUGCCUUGACCUUGGAAGUAGGAAUAUGACGAAAACAAAUGGCCAAUGCAACCGGUACCUACCCAGACCUGUGUCCAUUUAGCACAUGCUACAAGGCAGAUCAUUGUGGCUGAUUAUGACAUCCAUAGAGUGCAGUCUGAAAUUAUGCACAGAUCACAUCUUGCUUUGUCAUAGUCUAAGAUGGCAUUUAUGUCUUUGGUUUUAUUCUGUUGGUAGUGUUCUUGUUUACAACGGUCUGAACGAAUAAUGGAACACUGCACCCAGAUCAGCUGUUCCAGAGUUAAAAAGUAACAUGGCUAAUUAAGACAGUUUGUGAUCA